GCAAUAUGGUGAAAUCGAGGAUUGUCAGAUUGAUGACUCUUCACUUCAUGCAAUAAUUACAUUCAAGACAAGAGCGGAAGCAGAAGCUGCUGCAGUUCAUGGAGCUCGCUUCAAAGGGCAGGAUUUAAAGCUGGCAUGGAAUAAACCCGUAGCUAAUAUGUCAGCCGUGGAGACGGAAGAAGCCGAGCCUGACGAAGAGGAAAGAGAGAACAUCACUGCCUGAAUUUAGCUUUGUGACUACACGAGCAAGCCCUGUUUUGUCCUGUCUGGAGACGACUGUUAAUAAUAUCAUCCUGUCAUUUGGUUUGCUCUCUAUCAACCUGACUAGAUGUUUACAUGUACUGUGAUGACCAUUUUAUCUUUACAGUCUGUACAAGGACAUCUGAGUCCAGACGUGUAUCAAAUGUGUGAGGUUAUGACCUUAGUUAGAAGUGCUUUCUUCCCUUUGUAGCAAUUUAAUUUGUAAAACACCUUAAGAAGGAACAAGGCCUUUUAGUUUCCUUAUGAGAUGUAUUAUGUCUCGGGCAAAUUGAGAAAAAUGUUUGGGAAAUCUAUGAAGCCCUGAGAGCAUUAAUUGAACAGUUUAGAAUGAAGAAAAUGAAUUAAAAAGUUAAACAUAAGUUUGGCUUUAAUUUUUUUUUUUUUUUAGAAUAUAUUUAUUGAAUUAGGAUAACCACUAAGAGGAAGUACUUUUUCCAUACUGUCCUUAGUUUGUCUGUUUCUUGUGAGUAUUGAUCUGAUGGACUUGCCAGGGCCGUUACUCCAGUGCAGUUUCUGCUGUCCUUCUUAACUCCUCAAAAACAAGGAAAAUAAUUUUAUUUCUUUUCAAAUAAUAAAUGAUAACCCAUGGGUUCGAAAAUUGAAAAUCAUCUAUUAAAUUUGUCUAAUUUAUACAGUUUUCAUCACUUGUAAUCAAGACAUCAAAGACAAUCCUCUAAGCAAGGGGAAAUAGUGUUACAUGUUUUUUUUUUUGUUUUUUUAAUGUGUUUGUUUUUAAAGAAUAAUUUUCAACUGCUUUAUAACUGUGUGUACUAAUUAUAAGCAUUAUAGCCUAAACUUUAAAAAGUAUAAAAUUUAAAAUUUUCAUUCUAAAUAUUAACAGAAUUCUUUUUCUAGCAUACCCAGACAGUUCUCACUGUUACCUUGAGUAUUCCUUCAUAGAUUAUCAGGGGUAUUGGAGAAGUCGGAUGGGACAGCAGCUCUUACUAGGAAAAGUACAAAUUAUAUUGAUUCUAAUUUUUUUCUUUAAGUUCUACUCAGUCACAUUUUUUUCUACAAAGUUGAUCCCUGCAAAUACUUUUUUCCUCUUGAGUAUGCAUUGUGAUUGUCCUCACAAGUAAUACAAAGUAACAGACUCAUCA
RNAcentral lists this long non-coding RNA (1361 nucleotides) under Rattus norvegicus (Norway rat). Its description in RNAcentral is "long non-coding RNA NONRATT011166". Lineage: Eukaryota; Metazoa; Chordata; Mammalia; Rodentia; Muridae. The record is from RNAcentral.